RNAcentral lists this long non-coding RNA (2342 nucleotides) under Sus scrofa (pig). Its description in RNAcentral is "lncRNA (ENSSSCG00015075053.1)". Lineage: Eukaryota; Metazoa; Chordata; Mammalia; Artiodactyla; Suidae. The record is from RNAcentral.
AGUUUUGGCAAGAGAACAGACCUGACUAUGUCAACAUCCAGCUGUACCUCAGUCAGACAGAUGGGCUACAGAAGAUAAUUGGAGAAAAAUAUCCUGCACUGAAUUCAAGACUUUUUAUUGGACGUCCUCGGUGGAAACUUCUGUUUGAUGAAAUAGCAAAAUGUAACAGAGGGAAAACAGUUGGCGUUUUUUGCUGUGGACCAAAUUCAAUUUCUAAGACGCUUCAUAAGCUAAGUAACCAAAACAAUUCAUAUGGGACAAGAUUUGAAUACAAUAAAGAAUCUUUCAGCUGAAAACCUUUGAGAUGAAGCAGGACUCUAAGGAAGGAAUGAGUGCAAUUUUUAAGCCUUUUUGAAAUGCAGCUGAAUCAAACAGCUGUGUCAUGCCAAAGAAUAGCAAGGCUUUCUUAUUUAUGAUUAUUUAAAAUGGAAAUGCAGAGAAUGUGGCAAGAUGACACAUCACAUUUUGUGUUUGAUCUGGAAACCAAAGAGGCCCUGAAGAAUAGUUGAUGUGAUUAUUCACUUUUCACUGCUCAAAUUAAAAGAAAACUAUUAGAUGCACACUGUUGAUUUUUACGGCAGAUUCAAGAACCCCUAGAGAGGAGCUGCACUUGCUCACUGUGAGGCUGAUAGCCUUGGUCCUCUUUAAAUUGUUUUUGGUUGAACAAAUGCAAGAUUGAACAAAAUUAAAAAUUCAUUGAAACGCAGAUUACAUUUUCUACGUGAGUAUAAACAGAGAAACUUUGAUUUAGAAAAGCUCCAGGCAAAUAUAUUAGAUGUUUGAAAAUACAGCACAGGACUCUGUAUUGAUACGGGUACUUUGUGUCAAUAUCUCAUCUUGCUCACUACUGAUGCUAAUACCCCUCUACUGGGUAUCUAUCGCUUUUAUGCACCAUGAACCUUGUGCAGAUGUUGAUACAUCUAUUUUUUAUAUAUUUCUUUCUUCUUUAUUCCUGUGUCGUGGGAAAUCUGCCCUCCCUUGGCAUGUGUUAGACACAGUGAUUCAAUCAGUCCUCAUCCCGAAUGUAUUUAAUCAAUUACUCUUGCUUUGUAAUGAGGAAAAUAUCAUUAUCCUAAAUUAUAAAGGGACAUAUAGACUAGUUGCUUUUUUCCUUUUUCAGCAUUUUGGCCUCUAUUAUUUUUAUUUACAAUUUUUUUCCCCAGUGCAGUUUAGCUUAGUGGUUGGCCUCUUAAGGUGCUUUUAGUUUGCACUUGGAAGACCCAACGGUGUUGUGUCUGUCAGUGGUCACUGACAUAUAAGUUCUCUCGCUUUUUGUCACACAUGGGGUUAUGCUGGAGGCAUUGAAAACGGAGUCACAUCUCUCUAGAGGAAACCUGUAUUUUACUUUUUACACAAGAGGAAAUACUUUAUUGGUCAUUGAAAUUUAUUUAAGUGUAGAAUCAAGAUUAUUAUUGUUGCACUGUCUUGUUAUUCUGGAUAAAGAAUUGCUGAGUUUCAGGUCCCUGUUGGGACUGUGUGAUCCUAUUGGUUUUCACUCCGGGGCCAUUAUAUUCUCAGCUCAGAGGAAAAAUCCACUUCACUACCUUUUAAGAAUUAAGGCAUUUUCUUUUUACAAUGUAGUGAUUUUCUUUUGUGGACAUCUAUCAACUAUCCAAUAUAGCACAUUGCUGGGAUCAGCAGCAUAGCUUGUCUUGCCUUUGUUAAAAUUGUGCAUGAUAUAACAUAACAUGAUAGAUGCACCUGUCAUUUUUUGCUCUGAUUCACCAAUAGCAAUGGAGCAUGUUAAACCAUCUAACAUUAAACGCCCAUAAACAUAUUACUUACAGCUAUUUCUUCCUUGCCCUGGAACUCUUUCUUCUUCUGUGGAAGGAAAGUGAGUCAGAAAAAGAUACGGGAAAUGUGCAAUGUUCCUGCAGAUUUAGCUCUGAAAGCAUAUUUAAUAACCAGUACAUCUUGGCAACCCUUUCUAAAAUAAAACAAUUUUUAUAAAAAACACAUAACAGAAAGAACUUAAAAAGGAACGAGUUAGUACAGGCUCGACAUGCAAUUUACUGACUCUUUACUAAUUAUAAUUUAUUAUGUGAUUAUACUAAUACACCUGAUUUCAGUAAAACUGGUGGAAGAUUUUUCCAGAAGAUUGAUCUUUCCAAGUAGCUUGGCUAUGCUAGAUGAGCCUCUGCUUAUUUUAAAUUCCAACUGAUGUUCAAACAUUCAGUGUUAACAUAGGCAAUUCUUGCUUCAGUAGGUAGGCAUGAAACGCAGACUUCAUCAUACGUGUGUAAGAGAGCUUUUUGUUUCGUUUGGAGGGAUUCUUUCUCCCGGGCUAAUUCUUGUCAGUCAGACAGUAAUUGUAAUGGCAAUAAAUGUUAAAAUUGAAAUGG